AGGACGAACGCUGGCGGCGUGCUUAACACAUGCAAGUCAAGGGGGCCCAGCAAUGGGCAACCGGCGAACGGGUGCGUAACACGUGAGCAACCUACCGAACUGUGGGGGAUAGCCGGCCUAACGGCCGAGUAAUACCGCAUACGCUCUCAGUCGAGGCAUUUCAUUGAGAGGAAACCUACGGGACAGAUCGGAGGGGCUCGCGGCCUAUCAGCUAGUUGGCGAGGUAACGCUCACCAAGGCAACGACGGGUA
Molecule: ribosomal RNA, 251 nt
Filed under: uncultured soil bacterium
Lineage: Bacteria
Description: partial 16S ribosomal RNA
Rfam family: Bacterial small subunit ribosomal RNA
Source: RNAcentral